GGGGGGGCAAGCGUUUGUUCGGAAUUACUGGGCGUAAAGGGCGUGUAGGCGGCCCUGCAAGUCUUUCGUGAAAUCCCACAGCUCAACUGUGGAACUGCGAGGGAAACUGCAGGACUUGAGUCCGGGAGAGGAGAGUGGAAUUCCCAGUGUAGCGGUGAAAUGCGUAGAUAUUGGGAGGAACACCGGUGGCGAAGGCGGCUCUCUGGACCGGCACUGACGCUGAGGCGCGAAAGCUAGGGGAGCAAACGGGAUUAGAUACCCCGGUAGUCCUAGCCUUAAACGAUGAGCACUUGGUGUGGCGGGUAUCGACCCCCGUGCCGUGCCGAAGCUAACGCAUUAAGUGCUCCGCCUGGGGGAGUACGGUCGCAAGGCUG
Molecule: ribosomal RNA, 374 nt
Filed under: uncultured organism
Description: partial 16S ribosomal RNA
Rfam family: Bacterial small subunit ribosomal RNA
Source: RNAcentral